Molecule: non-coding RNA, 371 nt
Filed under: Ancylostoma ceylanicum
Lineage: Eukaryota; Metazoa; Nematoda; Chromadorea; Rhabditida; Ancylostomatidae
Description: Eukaryotic large subunit ribosomal RNA
Rfam family: Eukaryotic large subunit ribosomal RNA
Source: Rfam by way of RNAcentral
GUUCCACGUGAACAGUAGUUGAAUGUGUGUCAGCUGAUCCUAAGGUACUGGUUAUACCUCGUAUCAUUGAGAGGGAAUAUGUUCUUUUCUCUCGGAUAUCGAAAGGGAAUAGGGUCAAUAUUCCCUAACGCAGACAUAGAGAUUGCGGCUACUUGAUUCGCUUGUACGGUAAUGCAUUCGAACCUGGUUAUUUCGCUCAGAGACCGAGCUAGAGUUCUUUUCUCUAGUUAAGGAACGGACUCCCUGGAAGGGUCAUAAAUGUGAAAAAUUAUACCAUUGUCAAGGGCUGUGAAGUGAGAUUUUACACUUCUCCAGCUGUUCGUCGCCGGAGUUCUGGACUUCGAGAGCUGAUAUUCUAGUGCAGCGUUAGA